This 265-nucleotide ribosomal RNA is filed under the name uncultured archaeon. RNAcentral describes it as "partial 16S ribosomal RNA". It matches the Rfam family "Archaeal small subunit ribosomal RNA", at positions 718 to 982 of the family's 1478-position model. The record is from RNAcentral.
AGUCACUGACAUUAGAUACCCCUGUAGUCCCAGCCCUAAAUGAUGCGAGUUAAGUGUGGGGGCAUCUACGAGAUGGCCCUGUGCUGUAGGGUAGCCGUUAAACUCGCUGCCUGGGAGUACGGUCGCAAGGCUGAAACUUAAAGGAAUUGGCGGGGGAGCACCACAAGAGGUGGAGGCUGCGGUUCAAUUGGACUCAACGCCGGGAAGCUCGACCGGAUAAGACAGCGGAAUGAUUGCCGGGCUGAAGACCCUGCAUGACCAGCUG